ACGGUACCUGCAGAAGAAGCCCCGGCUAACUACGUGCCAGCAGCCGCGGUAAUACGUAGGGGGCAAGCGUUGUCCGGAUUUAUUGGGCGUAAAGAGCUCGUAGGCGGUUCCGUAAGUCGAGUGUGAAAAAUCUGGGCUCAACCCAGUGGAGCACUCGAUACUGCGGUGACUAGAGUACGGUAGAGGAGUGUGGAAUUCCUGGUGUAGCGGUGAAAUGCGCAGAUAUCAGGAGGAACACCAACGGCGAAGGCAGCACUCUGGGCCGGUACUGACGCUGAGGAGCGAAAGCGUGGGGAGCAAACAGGAUUAGAUACCCUGGUAGUCCACGCCGUAAACGUUGGGCACUAGGUGUGGGAAGGAAUCAACCCUUUCCGUGCCGUAGCUAACGCAUUAAGUGCCCCGCCUGGGGAGUACGGCCGCAAGGCUAAAACUCAAAGGAAAUUGACGGGGGCCCGCACAAGCGGCGGAGCAUGUUUGCUUAAUUUCGAGGCAACGCGAAGAACCUUACCUGGGUUUGACAUGUACGGAAAAGCCAUAGAGAUUAUGGUGUCCUUCGGG
Molecule: ribosomal RNA, 558 nt
Filed under: uncultured bacterium
Lineage: Bacteria
Description: bacterial SSU rRNA
Rfam family: Bacterial small subunit ribosomal RNA
Source: RNAcentral